GGUCAAGUUAUUAAGGGUGCAGGGCGGAUGCCUUGGCACUAGGAGCCGAUGAAGGACGUGAUAAGCUGCGAUAAGCUUCGGGGAGUUGCACGUAAACUUUGAUCCGAAGAUUUCCGAAUGAGGAAACUCACUUAGAGUAAUGUCUAAGUAUCAUUAAGUGAAUACAUAGCUUAAUGAGGGGAACUCAGGGAACUGAAACAUCUAAGUACCUGAAGGAAGAGAAAGAAAUUCGAUUCCGUAAGUAGCGGCGAGCGAACGCGGAUUAGCCCAAACCAAUAAAGUUUUCUUUAUUGGGGUUGCGGACAUAUCAUAACGAAGAGGUAUCGUAAUUGAAGAGGUUUGGAAAGACCCACCACAGAAGGUAAUAGUCCUGUAUGUUAAACGAGAAGACUUCAGAUAUGAUCCAGAGUACCACGGGACACGUGAAACCCUGUGGGAAGCAGGAGGGACCACCCUCCAAGGCUAAAUACUACCUAGUGACCGAUAGCGUAUAGUACCGUGAGGGAAAGGUGAAAAGAACCCCGGGAGGGGAGUGAAAUAGAACCUGAAACCCUGCACUUACAAGCUGUGGAAGCACAUUUCUUGUGUGACCGCGUACUUUUUGUAGAACGGGCCAACGAGUUACGUUAAGUAGCAAGGUUAAGCACUUAAGGUGCGGAGCCGUAGCGAAAGCGAGUUUUAACUGAGCGUUCAGUUACUUGACGUAGACCCGAAACCGGGCGACCUACCCAUGAGCAGGAUGAAGCGAAAGUAAAAUUUCGUGGAGGUCCGAACCCACGAGCGUUGAAAAGCUCGGGGAUGACUUGUGGGUAGCGGUGAAAUUCCAAUCGAGCCCGGAGAUAGCUGGUUCUCCCCGAAAUAGCUUUAGGGCUAGCCUCAAGGUGAGAGAUACGGAGGUAGAGCACUGAAUGUCCUAGGGGGUAUUGCACCUACCGAAGACUAUCAAACUCCGAAUGCCGUCAUCUUAUACUUGGGAGUCAGACUGUGGGUGAUAAGAUUCAUAGUCGAAAGGGCAACAGCCCAGAUCGUCAGCUAAGGUCCCUAAAUGUAAGUUAAGUGGUAAAGGAUGUGGGAUUGCACAGACAACCAGGAUGUUGGCUUAGAAGCAGCCACUCAUUCAAAGAGUGCGUAAUAGCUCACUGGUCGAGUGAUCCUGCGCCGAAGAUUUCCGGGGCUAAAACUUACUACCGAAGCUACGGCAUCAGUAAUGAUGGGUAGGGGAGCUUCCCAUACGGGUUGAAGCAUGACCGUAAGGACAUGUGGACAGUAUGGGAGUGAGAAUGUUGGCAUGAGUAGCGAGAUGUGGGUGAGAAUCCCACAGGCCGUAAACCCAAGGUUUCCAGGGGAAGGUUCGUCCGCCCUGGGUUAGUCGGGACCUAAGCUGAGGCCGAAAGGCGUAGGUGAUGGACAACAGGUUGAUAUUCCUGUACUACCGAUAACCGUUUGAGAGAAGGGAUGACACAGUAGGAUAAGCUAAGCACACUGUUGGUUAUGUGUGCCCAAGCAUUGAGG
RNAcentral lists this ribosomal RNA (1512 nucleotides) under Clostridioides difficile. RNAcentral describes it as "partial 23S ribosomal RNA". It matches the Rfam family "Bacterial large subunit ribosomal RNA", at positions 1 to 1524 of the family's 2925-position model. Lineage: Bacteria; Bacillati; Bacillota; Clostridia; Peptostreptococcales; Peptostreptococcaceae. The record is from RNAcentral.